GGGCUGCAGUAUUUUGACUGUACAAAGGUAGCAUAAUCAAUAGUCUCUUAAUUGGUGACUUGUAUGAAAGAUUGGAUGAAAUAUAUACUGUCUCUAAUUAAUUUAUAGAAAUUAAUUUUUUAGUAAAAAAGCUAAAAUAAUUUUAAAAGACGAGAAGACCCUAUAGAGUUUAAUAAUUUAUUUAAUUAUAUUUAUUAUAUAAUUUUUAAAAUUAAAAUUAAAUAAAUUAUUUUGUUGGGGUGAUAGAAAAAUUAAAUUAACUUUUUUUAAUUGUUAACAUUAAUUUAUGAAUAAAUGAUCCAUUAAUAAUGAUUAAAAGAAAAAAUUACCUUAGGGAUAACAGCGUAAUUUUUUUUUUUAGUUCAAAUAGGAAAAAAAGUUUGCGACCUCGAUGUUGGAUUAA
Molecule: ribosomal RNA, 403 nt
Filed under: Papilio helenus mangarinus
Lineage: Eukaryota; Metazoa; Arthropoda; Insecta; Lepidoptera; Papilionidae
Description: partial 16S ribosomal RNA
Source: RNAcentral